GGGAAGGACAUCUCAGAGGGAGUGAGUAGGGAGUAGGAGUAGAGAGAAACAGGAAAGAGACAGCUUCUCUGAGCAGCAAAUCCCCAAAUCUUCACACCUAUUAUCACCACCACUUUCCCUCCUCCUUUCUCUUCAGCUUGUGGGUAUUCUCAGAAGGAUGGGGAACAUAACUCAUAGUCACCCUGGAGAAUGACUUGCAUUCUCAGUAUGUCCAGUCAGCACAUGUAUAUCUCAGCCUCAGUAAUCACAAGAUUUCAGGGAAAAUUAAAAGCAGUUCCUCAUUGACGAUUGGUUGGGGCCCCUGUUUUUUUUCUUCCUUUUGGGGAAAGGGCAUCAAGAAGGAGGGUGAAAGGCAAGAGGCUGAUGAGAAAUAGAAGAGAAGAAAAUGGUGCAUGACGGGAGAAAUGAAGACAGAAGAUGGCAAAAAGUAACCGAAGAGGAGUUGAAGAUCUGGAUCUGAGUCCUAGACUCUGUGGCUGGGCCAGGCUUUCUUCCAAGUUCCUGAUGCUUCCCACUCACCUGCCUCGAGUUCCUUACAUUAUCUGCUUCAGUGGAUUUUUCUGGUGUUCAGGCCCUGGUUAUGAUGGGGUGCUUGGGUGCUUGUACUUGGACCCCACUUCCAAGAUCACAUUUCUCCCUAGUCUCAAAACACUAUGCCUGACAAUUUUCUCCCCAGCCCAAAGACCUUAUCUCUGGCAAUAACUCAUGAGUGGGCCCAGUGAGGCCCACUCUCUCCUUGAUAAAAGAACAAGCUGACUUCUGUAGAAUUUCCUUUGUACUAUCUUGUAUCAACAAAAUUAUCAUGUACUGAUUCCCACAGUUAUUAUGUACUAUCCAGAGGUCAAGUUAUAGACAUCAGCUCCCGAAGCUGUCUUGUUACAGACAUAACAGACCAAAAAUACACCCCUUAAGAAACCUCCUCCCUGGUUUCCAGUAGUGAAUGACGUCUGUGACCAAAGUUGUAUGUUAUCACCUAAUUAGCAUACUUGGUACAUAAUCCACUGCUUUUCCUAUAUAAGUUUUAGCAUCAUUCCUGUUAGGUUGCAGAAUUCUCUAAGGAGCUCUGCCCACCAUAUUAGCAUGACAAUAAACCUUUGCCAACUUGACUUAAAGAAUGCA
RNAcentral lists this long non-coding RNA (1119 nucleotides) under Vombatus ursinus (common wombat). Its description in RNAcentral is "lncRNA (ENSVURG00010007910.1)". The record is from RNAcentral. Lineage: Eukaryota; Metazoa; Chordata; Mammalia; Diprotodontia; Vombatidae.